Non-coding RNA from Protobothrops mucrosquamatus (brown spotted pit viper), 497 nucleotides. The record is from the annotation of a RefSeq genome assembly. Lineage: Eukaryota; Metazoa; Chordata; Lepidosauria; Squamata; Viperidae.
CACCCAUCAACACAAAGUUUGUGCACUUCCCCAAAUUCUUUGCCAUCACUUAUCUUCCAAUCUUCUACAGGGAGCAAGAAUGAUCCUGUGGCUAAACUUGUUAUUCUUACUAGCAGUCCUAAAAGGUGUUCAAUCUCAGAACCAGUUGGUGGAGUCUGGAGGUGACGUGAGAAGCCCUGGAGGGUCCCUCCGUCUCACCUGCCAAGGUUCUGGAUUCACCUUCAGCAGCUAUUACAUGAUCUGGGUGAGACAGGCUCCAGGGAAAGGCCUGGAAUGGGUUGCACGCAUCUAUACUGAUUCCAGUGAAAAGUUAUACUCAGACAAAGUGAAGGGACGCUUCACCAUCUCCAGGGACAAUGUCAAAAGUCAGCUGUAUCUGCAAAUGAACAGCCUCAAAGCUGAAGACACGGCAAUCUAUUACUGUGCGAGGCCUCCCUUGGUCAUCUUGUACUCCAAUGAGCACUAAUCUCACACCACUGCAAGGGUGGAGCAAGGCU